This 84-nucleotide transfer RNA is filed under the name Microcaldota archaeon. RNAcentral's name for it is "tRNA-Ser". It matches the Rfam family "tRNA". Rfam says of the family: Transfer RNA (tRNA) molecules are approximately 80 nucleotides in length. Their secondary structure includes four short double-helical elements and three loops (D, anti-codon, and T loops). The record is from RNAcentral. Lineage: Archaea; Nanobdellati; Microcaldota.
GCCGGGAUGGCAGAACCAGGUAUAGCGCCAGACUCGAGAUCUGGUGUCCUUCGGGACUUUUGGGUUCAAAUCCCAAUCCCGGCG